CUACGGGAGGCAGCAGUGGGGAAUAUUGCACAAUGGGGGAAACCCUGAUGCAGCAACGCCGCGUGAGUGAAGAAGGCCUUCGGGUUGUAAAGCUCUGUCUUUUGGGACGAUAAUGACGGUACCAAAGGAGGAAGCCACGGCUAACUACGUGCCAGCAGCCGCGGUAAUACGUAGGUGGCAAGCGUUGUCCGGAUUUACUGGGCGUAAAGGAUGCGUAGGUGGAUAUUUAAGUGGGAUGUGAAAUACCCGGGCUCAACUUGGGUGCUGCAUUCCAAACUGGAUAUCUGGAGUGCAGGAGAGGAAAGCGGAAUUCCUAGUGUAGCAGUGAAAUGCGUAGAUAUUAGGAGGAACACCAGUGGCGAAGGCGGCUUUCUGGACUGUAACUGACACUGAGGCAUGAAAGCGUGGGGAGCAAACAGGAUUAGAUACCCCGGU
RNAcentral lists this ribosomal RNA (435 nucleotides) under uncultured bacterium. Its description in RNAcentral is "bacterial SSU rRNA". It matches the Rfam family "Bacterial small subunit ribosomal RNA", at positions 339 to 791 of the family's 1533-position model. The record is from RNAcentral.